This 1152-nucleotide long non-coding RNA is filed under the name Canis lupus dingo (dingo). RNAcentral's name for it is "lncRNA (ENSCAFG00020009292.1)". Lineage: Eukaryota; Metazoa; Chordata; Mammalia; Carnivora; Canidae. The record is from RNAcentral.
AUGAACCCUCCCCUACAGACGGCACCAGACCCGACGUCCGGCACUGAGGCGAGCUCCGUCCCGGGCAGGGCAAGCAGAGCUCUCACCUCCAACAUUCCAGACCUCAUGCCUCUACUCAUCCCGCCCAGAAUCCCACCGCGUGUAAGGCAACCGCAGUGCGAGUCUGAAUCCAGCUCACGGUCAACGUCAGAGCUGCGAUCAGGAUUCUGGGAUGGGACCAAAAGACCCCGUCGCUUAACCACCUGCAGAAGGUGGUCGGGUCGCUCCCCUCUGUCUCGGGCGCGUCCUCUGAGAGCCAGAUGCAGGGCGUCGAGAGGGCGACACGAGCCACGCCCAGGGCGCCAGCCAGGGUGCAUGUUCGCUCUGGUUAUGAACUGGGUCCCGAGCCUUUUCCCAGAAAGCACGCUCUUCUCACGCUGUGCUUGGGCAGCCCGGGGACGCGGGCUGGUGGCACGCGGUGUCCCCACUCGUGCCCCAGCCGAGCCCCCGGGAGGACCGGGUUAUCCCAGGGGCCCCUCUCCACGGGCGGUGAGCUCCCCCGCCUCCAGGGACAGCUGGCCCGGCCGCCAGCCCAGGGCCCCGUCACCCACCCUGGGGGCUCCCGCCCCAAGCAGCUUCUCCCAGCCCCGGAGGGUCCAGCAGCCCGCGCAGCCCUGGCGGCCCAGUCCCCCCGGUACCCCCCGGUCCCCCCGGUCCCCCGGGUCCACACACAGAUGGGCCCCGCCCCACCGACGGCCAGCAGCCCCACGUUGCCACCGUGAGUCGGGGAGCGGCCCGGGGCGGAGCAGGGGCCCCGGGGGAUGUGCGGCUCACCCACAGGCACUGCUGUCCGCGCCACCUGGGCCUUCCCCACAGACGCCCGCCUGGCACGUCCCGCUCCCCGGGACAGCAGCGCAGAGCUGGGCUGGUCGUGACCCUCCACUGCUCACUGUGCGGGGACAGGCCAGCCUCCUCUUCCUCGCUGCCUCUCCCGGGCGCAGUGUGCUCCUUCCCCAGUGCUCGCCAUCCCAGCACCUGCUCCCUGCUCGGCCCCUGCCCGCCGUCGCUCAGCCCCCAACACCCUGGGCCCUGUCCCGCCCUCACGGUCCUGCUCAGACGCACCCUCUGGAGCCCACAUCCGGGUCCAGGUACCACCGCCUGCCACGUGGGUGA